CCUAGGUGCGUGAUUCCGUGGAUUUUUGUGUUCUGGUCUAUUUAUUCCUGAUGCUUGCUGCUGUAUGCAGCUAUGUAGCUUGCUUUUGUGCCUAUACAGGGUUAGGUUUUUUAUCAUGCUGAUGUAUAAUUCACCUAAGAUGUUUGUAUGAUGUUUUGAGUUCAAGCAGGCAUGUAUUUUUUGAGUUUAAUUUCAGUGUAAUUUGUGACAGCGCAUUCAGUGUAAUUUUCUGAAGGGAGUUGGGGGAUUAUGUACAUGCCCCCCUUCAUGUAUAGCACUUUUCAGUGUAUUCUAGCCAAUUUUUACAGUGUAAUCCCAGCAUAUUUUGUUCCAAGUUUACAGUGUAAUUUGUCCUGCACUUACAGUGUAAUGUACCCAAUGUUUACAGUGGAAUUUGUCCUGCACUUACAGUGUAAUGUAUCCAAUUUUUACAGUGAAUUUGUCCCAAGUUUACAGUGUAAGCUACACAUUAUUUACAGUGUAAUUUUAUCCCAAGCUUACAGUGCACUUUGUCUUGCAGUUUUUUUUACCUAAUGUUUUUCCAGUGAAUUGUCCUAGUGUAAUUACAGCGGAUUGGAAGUGUAAUUUGAAUGUAGUUUUACCCGACAAUGUCACUGUACUUUGCUUAGAUUGGUACUAUAGGACUUUUCAAAUGCUUCAGCUAACUUUAUUUUUCACCAACUUUUACUCUAUAGUUUCUAUGGUUCAGUACUGUAAUUGUCAGUUAGAUUACAGUGAUUUUGUAUGUUUUAAUUGGAUGCCUUUCACUGUUAUUUAACUUCUUUUUCCUUUUUGUCCUCCUUGUUUAUAGGUUUAAAUGGGUAAGCUACGGAAAGCCUCUCAUCCGGAUGUUCCUGUAGUAUCAUCUUUAGAGAGUGCAGAUUCUGGGGGUGAACCUUUCGUGCCUAAUGAUUUUGCAGAAGAUGGUUCCUGUUGCAGAUUCAUGUUGUAGAACAGGUUUGUGUUCCAGGGAUUGGAUUCUCCUCCCCCAUCUUCGCUUGCUGGCAUUUCCUGAUACAAUUCUGCCUCCAGUGUCUGCAAAGUAAGUUUAUUGAUUGUUAGUGUGUUUUCCUUCGGCAUUUUCCUGUAAUAGUUAUUCAGCUGUUGCUUUGCUUACAUUGUCAUCUCUUGUUGUGAUGAAACUGUCAUCUGAUUUGCUCCUGGAGUUUUCGUAGAUAGUUUCGGUGAUGUUCGUAGAUCCCUCUCCUGAAUGUACGUGCAAGGUUCAUCACAAGUUCUUUUUUUAGACAUCUCCUGAAUGUACCUGGUAUUUUUUUGAUUUUGGGAUUUUUACCUUGUAUAUAAUGUCGGAAUGAAGGAGCGCAGUGAAAGAAAAUGUUUCUCUUGUUAGCUUUUUACCCUUUUAUGUAUUUUAAACAUAUUCCCAAAGCAAUUGCACCUCACAUUUAGUAUGAGUUCUUCCUAUGGCAAUCUUAGUAGAUCCUCUUCAGUUACUACCCUCAUCACGCUCCUCUCCCGUGACAUUUGGAAAGCAGAAUGUCAGUGUUAACAUAAUCAUGAGCAGCAAAGCGUUUAGUAAUAGAUGAAAGUUUUUUUUUGAAAUGCUUCUUUCUAUUGGGAGAGGGGCAGGAGAUAGUCCCUGUAUUUUCUAGGGGUUUUGCACUGCAAUUUACUAGGUACUUACAGUGUAAAAACCCUUAGAUUUGCACUGGAUUUUUACAUGUUUAAUUUCACACUGGAAUUUCUAGGGAUUUUACAGUGGAAAAUUUCCAGGUAGCUACAGUGUAAUUUUCAUAUUUUACACUGUAAGUCUGCAUUUACAGUUUAAUUUACUAUGUAAUUUACACUGUAAGUACACCAUUUGUCUUCACUGCAUUUUUUACUCUGUAAAGUGUACUUUCAAUGUAAUUACACCAUUUUCUUUACUCUGGAAUUUAUGGGAAAUCUACACUUGAAAUUUCUAGGCACAAGACUAGUUACAUGGGGAUUUACACUGUAAUUUUCUAGGAUCUACACUGGAUUUUUGACUAGAUUUACACCGGAUUUACAUGGGGAUUUUUUAUGAUGUCUAUGAUUUACACUGUAACUUCAUCUUUUGUCUACAUGCUUACAAUGGAAUUUAUGGGGAUUUUACAGUGUAUACUUUUCAAUGUAAUUCCAUCAUUUCUUUAUUCUGGAAUUUAUGGGAAUUUUACACUGGAAUUUUCUAGGUGCAAGAGUAGUUUACAUGGGGAUUUACACUCUAAUUUUCUGGGAUUUACACUGGAAUUUUGACUAGUUUACACUGGAAAUUUACACUGUAAUUUUCUGGGAUUUUACACUGGAAUUUUGACUAGUUAACAUGGGGAUUUACACUGUAAUUUCUGGGAUUUACACUGGAAAUUGACUGGUUUUACAUGGGGAUUUACACUGUAAUUUUUUGGGAUUUUACACUGGAAUUUUGACUAGUUUACAUGGGGAUUUACACUGUAAUUUCUGGGAUUUACACUGAAAAUUGACUGGUUUUACAUGGGGAUUUACACUGUAAAAUUCUAGGAUUUACACUGGAAAUUAACUAGGUUCCUGAAAUGUUUUCUGAUGUCUAUGAUUCACACUGUAAUUUUUGUGUAUUUACAAUGUAUAAUUUACACUGGAAUUUAUGGGGAAUUUACAGUGUAAUCUGUUAGGAACAAGACUAGUUACAUGGGGAUUUACACUGUAAUUUUCUGGUUUUUUACACUAUGGAAUUUUCUGGGAUGUUCUCUGAUGUUGAUCUAUUUGUUUUGUACAUGAAGGAAACUCCUUCAGUUUUUGUUCUUGCAAGAGGUGAAGAGAGAUGAUGGAUGAGGGAGUUGGUGUUCGACUGUUUUUGCUGACCUGUAGAUGAUCGUGUUGUUGAUCUCCCUGCUGCUUCUCCUCAGGUACAUUUCCCUCCCCGAAUUUUGUGUUUGCUCUUCCUUCUUCUCCUCCUCCCCGAUCUGCCAUGGCUGCCUCUCCCAUGGGCGGCUCCCAGAUUUGUUCUAGCCCUGUUUUGUGGAGGGGCUUGGUCUUUGCAUGCGUUGCAAACUUGCCGGCAUGUGCUAUGUGGUCCCCUGAUCGGGAGGGGGGUUCGUUUGUCCAGGACGAACCGCGUGAGAUGUUUACCCGACCCGUUUAGGUGUUCUUUUCUGUUCUUUGGUGAUUUUGCUGCUAAUACAGAUGUAUUGUGUUGAUUGGUCGGGAAAUUUGACUGUUUUCGAAUUGAAAAACAGUCAAAUGUCAAAUAGACAGUCCCAAAAUUAAAGCUAGUUAGUAAGUAUACAUGUAUUGGUUAAUCAAUCAUGGUACGCACUGCACCAUAGUGUAUAACAGUAUAUGUCAACUCAUCUAAUUGCAUACAAGCAGCAAUGGAGCAGCGGAAUAAUGAAACAUGGUGAGGGAUGGAGUGAUGAGUUAAUGAUCCCUCCCCGCCUCCGACUGCGGGAGGAGCCCCGGGAUGAAGGGCACGCCGUACUUGGGGAUGAACUG
Molecule: long non-coding RNA, 3447 nt
Filed under: Triticum aestivum (bread wheat)
Lineage: Eukaryota; Viridiplantae; Streptophyta; Magnoliopsida; Poales; Poaceae
Description: long non-coding RNA (TAES_LNC023618)
Source: RNAcentral